GACGAACGCUGGCGGCGUGCUUAACACAUGCAAGUCGAACGGAAAUGCCCUGCUUGCAGGGUACUCGAGUGGCGAACGGGUGAGUAACACGUGGGUGAUCUGCCCUGCACUUCGGGAUAAGCCUGGGAAACUGGGUCUAAUACCGGAUAGGAGCCAUUUUUAGUGUGAUGGUUGGAAAGUUUUUUCGGUGUAGGAUGAGCUCGCGGCCUAUCAGCUUGUUGGUGGGGUAAUGGCCUACCAAGGCGGCGACGGGUAGCCGGCCUGAGAGGGUGGACGGCCACAUUGGGACUGAGAUACGGCCCAGACUCCGACGGGAGGCAGCAGUGGGGAAUAUUGCACAAUGGGCGCAAGCCUGAUGCAGCGACGCCGCGGGGGGGAUGACGGCCUUCGGGUUGUAAACUCCUUUCGCUAGGGACGAAGCUUUUUGUGACGGUACCUAGAUAAGAAGCACCGGCUAACUACGUG
RNAcentral lists this ribosomal RNA (465 nucleotides) under uncultured bacterium. Its description in RNAcentral is "partial 16S ribosomal RNA". It matches the Rfam family "Bacterial small subunit ribosomal RNA", at positions 28 to 507 of the family's 1533-position model. The record is from RNAcentral.